GGGGUAACGGGGUGCUUUCCCUGACAAGUCGACGGCGGCGCGAGAGAGCUUGCUCUCUGGGCGGCGAGUGGCGGAUGGGUGAGUAAUAUAUCGGAACGUGCCCAGGAGCGGGGGAUAACUACUCGAAAGAGUGGCUAAUCCGCCACGCCCUACGGGGGAAAGGGGGGGAUCGCAUGACCUCUCACUAUGGGAGCGGCCGAUCUCGGAUUAGCUAGUUGGUGGGGUAAAGGCUCACCAAGGCAACGAUCCCUAGCUGGUUUGAGAGGACCACCAGCCGCACUGGGACUGAGACACGGCCCACACUCCUACGGGAGGCACCAUUGGGGAAUUUUGGACAAUGGGGGAAACCCUGAUCCAGCCAUCCCGCGUGUAUGAUGAAGGCCUUCGGGUUGUAAAGUACUUUUGGCAGAGAAGAAAAGGUAUCCCCUAAUACGGGAUACUGCUGACGGUAUCUGCAGAAUAAGCACCGGCUAACUACUUGCCAGCAGCCGCGGUAAUACGUACGGUGCAAGCGUUAAUCGGAAUUACUGGGCGUAAAGCGUGUGUAGGCGGUUCGGAAAGAAAGAUGUGAAAUCCCAGGGCUCAACCUUGGAACUGCAUUUUUAACUGCCGAGCUCCAGUAUGUCAGAGGGGGGUAGAAUUCCACGUGUAGCACUGAAAUGCGUAGAUGUGUGGAGGAAUACCGAUGGCGAACGCAGCCCCCUGGGAUAAUACUGACGCUCAGACACGAAUGCGUGGGGAGCAAACAGGAUUAGAUACCCUGGUAGUCCACGCCCUAAACGAUGUCAACUAGCUCUUGGGGCCGUUAGGCCUUAGUAGCGCAGCUACGCGUGAAGUUGACCGCCUGGGGAGUACGGUCGCAAGAUUAAAACUCAAGGAAUUGACGCGGACCCGCACAAGCGGUGGAUGAUGUGUAUUAAUUCGAUGCAACGCGUAAUACCUUACC
Molecule: ribosomal RNA, 946 nt
Filed under: Alcaligenes phenolicus
Lineage: Bacteria; Pseudomonadati; Pseudomonadota; Betaproteobacteria; Burkholderiales; Alcaligenaceae
Description: bacterial SSU rRNA
Rfam family: Bacterial small subunit ribosomal RNA
Source: RNAcentral